This is a non-coding RNA of Peromyscus maniculatus bairdii (prairie deer mouse), 98 nucleotides long. The record is from RefSeq and is a predicted model, not a curated record. Lineage: Eukaryota; Metazoa; Chordata; Mammalia; Rodentia; Cricetidae.
GGGAAGGAAGGGUUUAUUUCAGCUUACAGUUACACAUCACAGACCAUCACUGAGGGAAGCCAGGAGAGGAACUUAAGCAGGGCAGAAACCUGGAGGCA